GUUGGAAAUGGAUGGACUGUUUCAGGAAAAACCUUCAAGUCACAUAUCAUAUAUGCAAUCUAAGACUUACUAAACCAGUCGACUUAGUUGGCUUACUGCAAAACAAGAACCAUUACUGACCACCUACUUCUGUGUUGGACUACAAGGUGAAACAGCCAUUCUGUUAGAAGGAACAACAUUACAAUGUGAUGGACUACAAGGUGAAACAGCCAUUCUGUUAGAAGGAACAACAUUACAAUGUGAUGGACUACAAGGUGAAACAGCCAUUCUGUUAGAAGGAACAACAUUACAAUGUGAUGGACUACAAGGUGAAACAGCCAUUCUGUUAGAAGGAACAACAUUACAAUGUGAUGAUAUCAGGAUCUCCAAUGUGUUUUUCAUCUGAGUUUUACUGUAUGACUCCAAAUACUUUUAUGAUUGUUUAUAGUUUUUAGCUAAAUUCAUGCAUUAAAUUAUUAUAUUUUUGAGGACAUAAUGUCUUCUGUUUAAUUCAGAUGCCUUUUGUGAUGAAUUAAAUGAGUAUAAAAUGCAUCAUUCAGAAUAAUAUGAUGGGAUACUACUAGUAUUGCUUGCUGGACAUAUAACAGUACUGUAAGUUGUCACUGUCCAGUGAUAUUCUAAGUGGUCUUUUUUAGCAGUCUGUCCCUUUCACUUUGACAGUGAUGCUCUAAUGAUGUCAUAUCAUCAUGUGCUAACUGUCCUCAUGAUGCAGUAAUGCUGAUGAAAGAUGCUGUUGCCCAU
RNAcentral lists this long non-coding RNA (741 nucleotides) under Salmo salar (Atlantic salmon). RNAcentral's name for it is "lncRNA (ENSSSAG00000112782.1)". The record is from RNAcentral. Lineage: Eukaryota; Metazoa; Chordata; Actinopteri; Salmoniformes; Salmonidae.